AUUGAACGCUGGCGGCAGGCCUAACACAUGCAAGUCGAACGAGUGGCGGACGGGUGAGUAAUGUAUGGGAAACUGCCUGAUGGAGGGGGAUAACUACUGGAAACGGUAGCUAAUACCGCAUACCAUCAGAAGUGCCCAGAUGGGAUUAGCUAGUAGGUGGGGUAAUGGCUCACCUAGGCGACGAUCCCUAGCUGGUCUGAGAGGAUGACCAGCCACACAGGGACGGAGACACGGUCCAGACUCCUACGGGAGGCAGCAGUGGGGAAUAUUGCACAAUGGGAGCAAGCCUGAUGCAGCCAUGCCGCGUGUGUGAAGAAGGCCUUAGGGUUGUAAAGUACGUUCAGCGAGGAGGCGUUACUCGCAGAAGAAGCACCGGCUAACUCCGUGCCAGCAGCCGCGGUAAUAC
This 406-nucleotide ribosomal RNA is filed under the name uncultured bacterium. RNAcentral describes it as "partial 16S ribosomal RNA". It matches the Rfam family "Bacterial small subunit ribosomal RNA", at positions 30 to 526 of the family's 1533-position model. The record is from RNAcentral.